UACGAGGGGGUGCAAGCGUUGCUCGGAAUUAUUGGGCGUAAAGGGCAGGUAGGUGGUCUCAUUUGUCAGGGGUGAAAGCCUUUGGGCUUAAACCCAAGAAGUGCCUUUGAAACGGUGAGACUGGAGUCUUGGAGAGGGUCGUGGAAUUCCCAGUGUAGCGGUGAAAUGCGUAGAGAUUGGGAGGAACACCAGAGGCGAAGGCGGCGACCUGGAACAAGUACUGACACUCAACUGCGAAAGCGUGGGUAGCAAACAGG
Molecule: ribosomal RNA, 257 nt
Filed under: uncultured bacterium
Lineage: Bacteria
Description: partial 16S ribosomal RNA
Rfam family: Bacterial small subunit ribosomal RNA
Source: RNAcentral